CUAUGUGUUGUUGGGUAGGGGAGCGUUCUGUAAGCCUGUGAAGGUGGCCUGUGAGGGUUGCUGGAGGUAUCAGAAGUGCGAAUGCUGACAUAAGUAACGAUAAAGCGGGUGAAAAGCCCGCUCGCCGGAAGACCAAGGGUUCCUGUCCAACGUUAAUCGGGGCAGGGUGAGUCGACCCCUAAGGCGAGGCCGAAAGGCGUAGUCGAUGGGAAACAGGUUAAUAUUCCUGUACUUGGUGUUACUGCGAAGGGGGGACGGAGAAGGCUAUGUUGGCCGGGCGACGGUUGUCCCGGUUUAAGCGUGUAGGCUGGUUUUCCAGGCAAAUCCGGAAAACCAAGGCUGAGGCGUGAUGACGAGGCACUACGGUGCUGAAGCGACAAAUGCCCUGCUUCCAGGAAAAGCCUCUAAGCAUCAGGUAACAUCAAAUCGUACCCCAAACCGACACAGGUGGUCAGGUAGAGAAUACCAAGGCGCUUGAGAGAACUCGGGUGAAGGAACUAGGCAAAAUGGUGCCGUAACUUCGGGAGAAGGCACGCUGAUAUGUAGGUGAAGCGACUUGCUCGUGGAGCUGAAAUCAGUCGAAGAUACCAGCUGGCUGCAACUGUUUAUUAAAAACACAGCACUGUGCAAACACGAAAGUGGACGUAUACGGUGUGACGCCUGCCCGGUGCCGGAAGGUUAAUUGAUGGGGUUAGCGGUAACGCGAAGCUCUUGAUCGAAGCCCCGGUAAACGGCGGCCGUAACUAUAACGGUCCUAAGGUAGCGAAAUUCCUUGUCGGGUAAGUUCCGACCUGCACGAAUGGCGUAAUGAUGGCCAGGCUGUCUCCACCCGAGACUCAGUGAAAUUGAACUCGCUGUGAAGAUGCAGUGUACCCGCGGCAAGACGGAAAGACCCCGUGAACCUUUACUAUAGCUUGACACUGAACAUUGAGCCUUGAUGUGUAGGAUAGGUGGGAGGCUUUGAAGUGUGGACGCCAGUCUGCAUGGAGCCGACCUUGAAAUACCACCCUUUAAUGUUUGAUGUUCUAACGUUGGCCCGUAAUCCGGGUUGCGGACAGUGUCUGGUGGGUAGUUUGACUGGGGCGGUCUCCUCCUAAAGAGUAACGGAGGAGCACGAAGGUUGGCUAAUCCUGGUCGGACAUCAGGAGGUUAGUGCAAUGGCAUAAGCCAGCUUGACUGCGAGCGUGACGGCGCGAGCAGGUGCGAAAGCAGGUCAUAGUGAUCCGGUGGUUCUGAAUGGAAGGGCCAUCGCUCAACGGAUAAAAGGUACUCCGGGGAUAACAGGCUGAUACCGCCCAAGAGUUCAUAUCGACGGCGGUGUUUGGCACCUCGAUGUCGGCUCAUCACAUCCUGGGGCUGAAGUAGGUCCCAAGGGUAUGGCUGUUCGCCAUUUAAAGUGGUACGCGAGCUGGGUUUAGAACGUCGUGAGACAGUUCGGUCCCUAUCUGCCGUGGGCGCUGGAGAACUGAGGGGGGCUGCUCCUAGUACGAGAGGACCGGAGUGGACGCAUCACUGGUGUUCGGGUUGUCAUGCCAAUGGCACUGCCCGGUAGCUAAAUGCGGAAGAGAUAAGUGCUGAAAGCAUCUAAGCACGAAACUUGCCCCGAGAUGAGUUCUCCCUGAGACUUAGAGUCUCCUGAAGGAACGUUGAAGACGACGACGUUGAUAGGCCGGGUGUGUAAGCGCAGCGAUGCGUUGAGCUAACCGGUACUAAUGAACCGUGAGG
Molecule: ribosomal RNA, 1725 nt
Filed under: Escherichia coli
Lineage: Bacteria; Pseudomonadati; Pseudomonadota; Gammaproteobacteria; Enterobacterales; Enterobacteriaceae
Description: partial 23S ribosomal RNA
Rfam family: Bacterial large subunit ribosomal RNA
Source: RNAcentral